This 348-nucleotide unclassified non-coding RNA is filed under the name Hevea brasiliensis (rubber tree). The record is from RNAcentral. Lineage: Eukaryota; Viridiplantae; Streptophyta; Magnoliopsida; Malpighiales; Euphorbiaceae.
AUUUAAAACACCAAGUCGGCCAGACCCCAGCAAAGGGAAGGAUCCACAGAACAACGAAGCACCAAAAAAGAAGGUUACUCUUUCUAGCUUCGAUAGUAGUGAGACAGAAAGCAAGAAAAGCAAGGGAAAAAUGGAUGAUGGCGGCAUUGCAAUGGAUUCCAAGGCCACCAAAUGAGCUCCACAUGCUGCAUGCUUAAACUGUAGCUGAUGCAUAAUCUUAUAUUAGAGAAGUCAAUCUCUUCUAGCUAUCUUAGAAGUUAGCUCUCAAUAACAAGUAUGAGGUUGUUGUAUGUUGCUACUGUUUGCUUAUGUUUUAGUGGAGAAAGACAUAGGUCUUUCUGUGUGCGU